AUUGAACGCUGGCGGCAGGCCUAACACAUGCAAGUCGAACGGUAACAGGAAGAAGCUUGCUUCUUUGCUGACGAGUGGCGGACGGGGGAGUAAUGUCUGGGAAACUGCCUGAUGGAGGGGGAUAACUACUGGAAACGGUAGCUAAUACCGCAUAAUGUCGCAAGACCAAAGAGGGGGACCUUCGGGCCUCUUGCCAUCGGAUGUGCCCAGAUGGGAUUAGCUAGUAGGUGGGGUAACGGCUCACCUAGGCGACGAUCCCUAGCUGGUCUGAGAGGAUGACCAGCCACACUGGAACUGAGACACGGUCCAGACUCCUACGGGAGGCAGCAGUGGGGAAUAUUGCACAAUGGGCGCAAGCCUGAUGCAGCUAUGCCGCGUGUAUGAAGAAGGCCUUCGGGUUGUAAAGUACUUUCAGCGGGGAGGAAGGGAGUAAAGUUAAUACCUUUGCUCAUUGACGUUACCCGCAGAAGAAGCACCGGCUAACUCCGUG
RNAcentral lists this ribosomal RNA (490 nucleotides) under uncultured bacterium. Its description in RNAcentral is "partial 16S ribosomal RNA". It matches the Rfam family "Bacterial small subunit ribosomal RNA", at positions 30 to 507 of the family's 1533-position model. The record is from RNAcentral.